AUUGAACGCUGGCGGCAUGCUUUACACAUGCAAGUCGAACGGCAGCGGGGGCUUCGGCCUGCCGGCGAGUGGCGAACGGGUGAGUAAUGCAUCGGAACGUGCCCAUGUCGUGGGGGAUAACGUAGCGAAAGCUACGCUAAUACCGCAUACGUCCUGAGGGAGAAAGCGGGGGAUCUUUGGACCUCGCGCGAUUGGAGCGGCCGAUGUCGGAUUAGCUAGUAGGUGAGGUAAAGGCUCACCUAGGCGACGAUCCGUAGCGGGUCUGAGAGGAUGAUCCGCCACACUGGGACUGAGACACGGCCCAGACUCCUACGGGAGGCAGCAGUGGGGAAUUUUGGACAAUGGGGGCAACCCUGAUCCAGCCAUGCCGCGUGCAGGAAGAAGGCCUGGUGUAAUAGCUUGUUAGAAAGGGUAGAGAGUAAGUACCUACGUCGUUGUAUGUAGUAGGAAGUAAAGUAAAGGACAACCGGACCGUAACUAACCGUAGUACCCAGCCAGCCGCGGUAAC
RNAcentral lists this ribosomal RNA (508 nucleotides) under uncultured bacterium. Its description in RNAcentral is "bacterial SSU rRNA". It matches the Rfam family "Bacterial small subunit ribosomal RNA", at positions 29 to 524 of the family's 1533-position model. The record is from RNAcentral.